UAACCUCGCCCAAGAGAUCGGGAUAACACCUGGAAACAGACGCUAAUACCGGAUAACAACAGAUGAUGCCUAUCAACUGUUUAAAAGAUGGUUCUGCUAUCACUCUUGGAUGGACCUGCGGUGCAUUAGCUAGUUGGUAGGGUAACGGCCUACCAAGGCGAUGAUGCAUAGCCGAGUUGAGAGACUGAUCGGCCACAUUGGGACUGAGACACGGCCCAAACUCCUACGGGAGGCAGCAGCC
Molecule: ribosomal RNA, 241 nt
Filed under: uncultured Lactobacillus sp.
Lineage: Bacteria; Bacillati; Bacillota; Bacilli; Lactobacillales; Lactobacillaceae
Description: partial 16S ribosomal RNA
Rfam family: Bacterial small subunit ribosomal RNA
Source: RNAcentral